UAAACAGAGCAGAGCUCAGGUGACAUCACAGAACAGGCAGAGGCAGUUCAGGGGUAUUCUGGUUGCCUUACCCAGCUCUGAAGUCUGUCAGCCUCUUCAGAUGUCACUUGCCAUGUGGUAAGGAAGUGUAGUCAGCAGCUGGUGCAGUGGGAAGAAGAGAAAGGAAGUUCCCCAAGACAAAAACAUCUCGGCAGACCGUGAUCAUGGGCUACAUUCUCCGUACCAGCUUCAUAGCUCCAGUGAGAAAAUAAAUUCCUGCAUCCAGGAGAUGUGGAGUAAGAGAUACAGCUGCCCUUGACCAUAUUUCUUACUUCCGAGAAGAUCGUAGCAGUAAUUCAGGUUAUUGGGGAACAGGUGGUUUGGGUUACAUGAAAUCUCAUCCAGGAUACCUCAUCACAGGCUGGAGUGCAGUGUCAUGAGCUUGGCUCACUACAGCCUCCAUCUUCUGUGCUUAAGGAUCCUUCCCUCUCAACCUCCAAGGUAGCUGAGACUACAGGCAACAUUCGAAACCCAGGUGCCACUCCUUCAGGAAGGUACCAUCAAGCUCCAAGGACUCAUCCUCUUUCUCCUUCCCCACUACCUAGUCAUUAGAGCGUCAGCAUCCACUUCCUGAAAGGAAGAUGCCUGUUUUUCACAUAUCCCAGAAAGCCUCAUUUUAGGACAGCAUUUAGCAGAGUGUAUUCAGGAUCCCACUAACCUUUUCGGAAGACAUGACUUCCAGAUGAUAUAAGGCAAGAAUAAGAAAUUUCAGUGACAGGGAACAGAAAUCAUAUUUCUGCAUUCAGGAUCAUGUUUUCUUGGCUCCAUCAGGAACUGUGCAGGACUGUGCACUCUGUUGAUACUCACAUGGUGGAAUUAUAUUGCCCUUGGCCAACCCUAAAGCCAUCAAGAUAGCAGGUUUGGAAUAAUUCACUGUCGAAGUCUUCUUGAGCUGAGCAGUCAUGUGAGCUUGGAAGAUGAUCCCUCUCCAGCUGAUCCUUCAGCUCAGGCCAUCAUCUACAUCUGGAUUCCUGACCCGGAGAAACUAUGAGUAAUGUGUGCUGCUUUUGAGCCACUAAGCUACAUGAAUUAAUGAAGGAUCAUUAUUAAGUUUUUAAUGGGUCAAGAGAAAGUUACCACUGAGGUCUUCUCUACCUGGGCAACAAUUGACUCCUAACAACCACUAUAAGCUUGGAAGAUGAUCCCUCCCCAGCUGAUCCUUCAGGCUCAGACUUUGACAGUCCUCUGAUAUACUUUAUAUGUAAAUAGAUGGCUGAGUGUUCUGGCUGAUGAACAUGGGUUACUUAACCAGAGUUAAGCGAGGACUUUCUCACCUGAAACCACCAAGAGACACAAAAGCCAGAAAAGGACAGAAAUUAAUUCAAGGGUCAACAAAUAGAGUCGGCUUUCUUUAAGACCUGAAGUGUAGAAGUCUAGGUUGAACCCUAGGUUGAUUACGUUGAAGACUACAUUCUCCUGUGAAGCAAGCAUUCCUAAAGGGUCUCUACUUUUUGUAGCCUGGGGAUUUUCUACUCCCCCAACAGCCAGAUGAGGCAGAAACCCCUACAGACAUCCCUAUGUGCCUCCUGUGCAAGUGCAGUUGCCCCUUGAAGGCAGUUCUCCUGCUGCAGACCACGCCCACCAAGGGCAGAGUCACAGCCACUGCAGCUGAGCUCAGAGCCUUCUGUGGGGUCUGCAGGGGCAAGGCCAGCUGUCCCCUGGGAUAGUUUGAAGAAUGCAGUUUGUUUGUAUAAUAAAGAUGUUUCUCUACGUCAUUCAUCUUGCUAAUCAAGGACGUUUAACAGCUUCAGACUUUCCUGGUAAUAUUUGUUCUUGCCUUUUUUUGGCAAAUAUAGUUAACACUUCUAUGCAUUUUUUACCUCACAUAAACAUCAUCUAAAACCAUUCAUAUUUCUGUAUUGCGUAUUAAUGCUUUUCAUUCCUGUAUAUAAAAAUGCAUUCAUAAUCGCUUUUCAAAAUACAUUU
Molecule: long non-coding RNA, 1965 nt
Filed under: Homo sapiens (human)
Lineage: Eukaryota; Metazoa; Chordata; Mammalia; Primates; Hominidae
Description: HSALNT0379885
Source: RNAcentral